Molecule: ribosomal RNA, 330 nt
Filed under: Triticum aestivum (bread wheat)
Lineage: Eukaryota; Viridiplantae; Streptophyta; Magnoliopsida; Poales; Poaceae
Description: partial small subunit ribosomal RNA
Source: RNAcentral
AUGGCUUUGAAGCCUUGCAUCGAUGGGUUCAAAGCAGGGUGCCGUCCAUAUUUGAGCAUAGACUCAUCAUUUUUGACAGGCAAGUGGAAUGGUCAGUUGGCAGCAUGCAAUGCUCUAGAUGGACACAACUGGAUGUUUCCUAUUGCUGUUGGCUUGUUUCAGUCAGAAACAGAGGCUUCAUGGACAUGGUUCUUGAUCCAGUUGAAAAGAUGCCUAGGGCCAGUGUCACCUUUGGCUAUACACACAGAUGCAUGUAAGGGGCUUGAAAAUUCAGUGAAAAUGUUUUCCCACAUGCUGAGCAGAGGGAGUGCUUCGGUCAUUUGUGGAUGA